AGAGGUCAGAUACCAGGUGUACACAGGAGCCCUGCGGAGUAAUAUCACCCUGCAGAGUAUACACUGACCACACAGAGGUCAGAUACCAGGUGUACACAGGAGCCCUGCGGAGUAAUAUCACCCUGCAGAGUAUACACUGACCAUACAGAGGUCAGAUACCAGGUGUACACAGGAGCCCUGCGGAGUAAUAUCACCCUGCAGAGUAUACACUGACCAUACAGAGGUCAGAUACCAGGUGUACACAGGAGCCCUGCGGAGUAAUAUCACCCUGCAGAGUAUACACUGACCAUACAGAGGUCAGAUACCAGGUGUACACAGGAGCCCUGCGGAGAAAUAUCACCCUGCAGAGUAUACACUGACCAUACAGAGGUCAGAUACCAGGUGUACACAGGAGCCCUGCAGAGUAAUAUCACCCUGCAGAGUAUACACUGACCAUACAGAGGUCAGAUACCAGGUGUACACAGGAGCCCUGCGGAGUAAUAUCACCCUGCAGAGUAUACACUGACCAUACAGAGGUCAGAUACCAGGUGUACACAGGAGCCCUGCGGAGUAAUAUCACCCUGCAGAGUACACACU
Molecule: long non-coding RNA, 576 nt
Organism: Bufo bufo (common toad)
Lineage: Eukaryota; Metazoa; Chordata; Amphibia; Anura; Bufonidae
Exons: 4
Source: RefSeq, a predicted model, not a curated record